GCCAUAUCACAUUGAAACACCGGCUCUCGUAAGAACAGCUAAGUUAAGCAACGUCGAGCUUGGUCAAUACCUAGAUGAGUGACCGCUUGAGAAUACCAGAUGC
Acanthosepion pharaonis is the source of this 103-nucleotide non-coding RNA. Lineage: Eukaryota; Metazoa; Mollusca; Cephalopoda; Sepiida; Sepiidae. The record is from the annotation of a GenBank genome assembly.